UGGGGAAUAUUGCACAAUGGGCGCAAGCCUGAUGCAGCCAUGCCGCGUGUGUGAAGAAGGCCUUCGGGUUGUAAAGCACUUUCAGCGGGGAGGAAGGCGUUAAGGAUAAUAACCUUGGCGAUUGACGUUACCCGCAGAAGAAGCACCGGCUAACUCCGUGCCAGCAGCCGCGGUAAUACGGAGGGUGCAAACGUUAAUCGGAAUUACUGGGCGUAAAGCGCACGCAGGCGGUCUGUCAAGUCGGAUGGGAAAUCCCCGGGCUCAACAUGGGAACUGCAUUCGAAACUGGGAGGCUAGAGUCUUGUAGAGGGGGGUAGAGUUCCAGGUGUAGCGGUGAAAUGCGUAGAGAUCUGGAGGAAUACCGGUGGCGAGGGCGGCCCCCUGGACAAAGACUGACGCUCAGGUGCAAAAGCGUGGGGAGCAAACAGG
Molecule: ribosomal RNA, 429 nt
Filed under: Chloroflexota bacterium
Lineage: Bacteria; Bacillati; Chloroflexota
Description: Chloroflexi bacterium partial 16S ribosomal RNA
Rfam family: Bacterial small subunit ribosomal RNA
Source: RNAcentral